CACAAAGUCCAGAACGAAUUUCCAAGGAUCAAACCAACUUGUUAAACUUCCCUCCCCUGAAUUAAAAGUUCAGUUGGCCGAAUCUGCCAGCUUCCUCGCUCCUUCCCUCUCUUCUCCUGUGCUGGGAAUUGUCAGAACGGCUGGCAGGAAAGAGAGAGAAACGAGGAGCAGCGACGAGCUUUCGGCGUGAUAACAUUUCCGCCUCCCGCUCACCAGAUCCUCCGACUCGGUCCUUGCAGGGGGCCCAGCCCAGCCUUCAAGUUUGGCCAAAAUUACGGUGCCCGCUUAUUCCGCAGCAUUUCAAAUAUUUGCCCUGGAGGACGUCAUACAUUUAGGCUUCCUGGUAUCCCAGCUUUGAUAAAGUUUGAGGAGCUGUGCCCUUCC
This 384-nucleotide long non-coding RNA is filed under the name Naja naja (Indian cobra). Its description in RNAcentral is "lncRNA (ENSNNAG00000011483.1)". Lineage: Eukaryota; Metazoa; Chordata; Lepidosauria; Squamata; Elapidae. The record is from RNAcentral.